RNAcentral lists this ribosomal RNA (490 nucleotides) under uncultured bacterium. Its description in RNAcentral is "partial 16S ribosomal RNA". It matches the Rfam family "Bacterial small subunit ribosomal RNA", at positions 30 to 507 of the family's 1533-position model. The record is from RNAcentral.
AUUGAACGCUGGCGGCAGGCCUAACACAUGCGAGUCGAACGGUAACAGGAAGCAGCUUGCUGCUUCGCUGACGAGUGGCGGACGGGUGAGUAAUGUCUGGGAAGCUGCCUGAUGGAGGGGGAUAACUACUGGAAACGGUAGCUAAUACCGCAUAAUGUCGCAAGACCAAAGAGGGGGACCUUCGGGCCUCUUGCCAUCGGAUGUGCCCAGAUGGGAUUAGCUUGUUGGUGGGGUAACGGCUCACCAAGGCGACGAUCCCUAGCUGGUCUGAGAGGAUGACCAGCCACACUGGGACUGAGACACGGUCCAGACUCCUACGGGAGGCAGCAGUGGGGAAUAUUGCACAAUGGGCGCAAGCCUGAUGCAGCCAUGCCGCGUGUAUGAAGAAGGCCUUCGGGUUGUAAAGUACUUUCAGCGGGGAGGAAGGGAGUAAAGUUAAUACCCUUGCUCAUUGACGUUACCCGCAGAAGAAGCACCGGCUAACUCCGUG